This 77-nucleotide transfer RNA is filed under the name Brachybacterium alimentarium. RNAcentral's name for it is "tRNA-Ile". It matches the Rfam family "tRNA". From Rfam's summary of the family: Transfer RNA (tRNA) molecules are approximately 80 nucleotides in length. Their secondary structure includes four short double-helical elements and three loops (D, anti-codon, and T loops). Further hydrogen bonds mediate the characteristic L-shaped molecular structure. tRNAs have two regions of fundamental functional importance: the anti-codon, which is responsible for specific mRNA codon recognition, and the 3' end, to which the tRNAs corresponding amino acid is attached (by aminoacyl-tRNA synthetases). tRNAs cope with the degeneracy of the genetic code in two manners: having more than one tRNA (with a specific anti-codon) for a particular amino acid; and 'wobble' base-pairing, i.e. permitting non-standard base-pairing at the 3rd anti-codon position. Lineage: Bacteria; Bacillati; Actinomycetota; Actinomycetes; Micrococcales; Dermabacteraceae. RNAcentral also lists the same sequence under 2 other names. The record is from RNAcentral.
GGCCCAGUAGCUCAGCCGGUCAGAGCAGCGGACUCAUAAUCCGUCGGUCGAGGGUUCAAGCCCCUCCUGGGCUACCA